Molecule: RNA transcript, 8273 nt
Organism: Triplophysa dalaica
Lineage: Eukaryota; Metazoa; Chordata; Actinopteri; Cypriniformes; Nemacheilidae
Exons: 4
Source: RefSeq, a predicted model, not a curated record
CACACCUUUCCGCCGGAAAAGACGCUGUUAGGAAGAAUCACGGACUGGUUGGAAGCUGUUGAAGAACAACUGUCAACAAUUGUUAAGCCGUGUUGACACUGCGAACCCUUAAGAUACCUCCGAUUGGUUUUAAGAGAGGGAUAGAUCAUCUGAAUCUGACCCUUGGGGUCAGUGGCGAGCCAACCGCAGAAGUCAGAAAACGGACCAAGAGCCUGGUGUGGCCAGCCGUGGCAUCUUUGGAACCAUCAUCAUCCCGUGCCUUCGUUUGAAGUAAAGAUAAGAACACACGUAAACCUACCCGGGUAGUGAAAAGAACAUACAUACUCCAAGAAAAACACACACACACCAAGAACUUUCAUGGACUCUUCCUUUGUUUGACGUUGUUUAUUUUGGGUUUUAUUGUGCGCUUGUGCACUCAGGAAGCCGGCUUAGGUAGGCAGGGAUUGUAUAUAACUGUCUUUAAUUUUGUGUAAUACACUUCUAAAACGUAUCUGUUUUGUGGUAUUUGUUGUCUGACUUUUUACUACUUCAGGCUCCGUAGUCGUACCUAGAUUUUCUGAUUUUAGCCCAGUUUCAAUUUAUAGCUAAUUCAAUUAGUUAUCGGUUACACUAAAGCGAGCAGAGGGUUACAAGUGGCGAGCCAGCCAGGAGCCUGAUUUUGUGUUAGCAGUGAACCACAUUACACGUGUGUGAAACGACUUUCAAGUGUGUAAGCUCUUUGUUAUCUGUUUAACAUAUCACCCUUUACUAAAGAUGGAGUUCAUAACAAGCUCAGGUAUCAAAGUCCCCAAUGCAGUAAUGGUGAGUGGUUUGCUUGAAUCACCAGAAGAUGAGGAGAUCAUAGACUUCCUUAGGAGGUAUGGCUCCAUGAAACUUGUCCCAGUUACUGACACUAACUCAGAGUUUUAUAAAAACCUGAUUGUUGAGUAUCAAGAAGGUGCUGCUUUUGAGGCCUUAGCCCCCCUUCUGCCCUACUCACGUGAACAUAAGGACAAUCCAGACGUGAAAUACUACGUUCAAGCCCUGGCAAGUGUGUACACUACUAAAGUUGGCUGCAGUGUUACCAAAGCCUACCUUGAUGAAAUAAAGAAGUUAGCGAAAUUGAGUGGACGAGGCUUCGAAGAAGUGCUGAAAGACAUGAUGUCAGAGAUCAGUGAGACAAUCGAGACUGAUGGCAGUGGUGAUGAUGAGUUUGGAGCCAGACAGCUCAACACGUCGCUUGACACAUUUGAACCCACACAUUCUCAGCUGCUUCCAGAUUCUUCUCGGGAAAAGUUAAUUCAUAGUGGUGCUGAGCCAUACCCACCAGCUGAUGUGAAGCGAAGUCUGUCCGUUGUGGAGAGCGACCUGAAUCCACCUGAAAUUCAAAGGGUCAUUGUUGAGCACAUUGUGAGGAGAGAUGAAUUAAACACACAUUCACACUUUCCCAUCAAGCUUCGUUCAUUCUCAGGCAAGCUUCCCAGACCCAAUGGUGAGACAGACUACGACACAUGGCGUUCACAUGUUGAGCUUCUCAGGAAAGACCCAACCCUGUCUAAUCUUCAGAAAUCACGGAAAAUCUUUGAAAGUUUGCUCUUCCCGGCAGCAGAUAUUGUCAAAAGACUAAGCCCUGAAGCUACUCCUGAGUCCUACCUUCAACUGCUGGAUGCAGCCUUUGGAACUGUUGAGGACGGCGAGGAGCUUUUCGCCCAGUUUAUAAAUACUCUUCAGGAUCCAGGUGAAAAGGUCUCUACAUACCUCUGUCGCCUUCAAGCUGCCCUGAACCUUGCUGUUAAAAGAGGAGGAGCUGCUGCCGGAGAAGCAGAUAGACACAUUCUCAAACAGUUUUGUCGCGGGUGUUGGGACAACCACUUGCUCUCUGACCUCAACCUUGAAGAAAAGAAAAGUCACCCACCAGCAUUUUCAGAGCUCCUGUUAUUAAUCCGCACUGAGGAGGAUAGGCAGGCAACUAAAGCCACACGUAUGAAGAAGCACCUUGGCUCACACCGGCAGAGGAUUAUGCUAGGUUCUCAGGGUGUAUGCGUCUGCAGUCAACAAGCAGCACUCCAGCCUGAGUCCGACCCAUUGACAGAGCUUAAACAUCAGGUGGCGUCGCUGCAGAGCCAACUCACCACGCUGAUGUCUAAGAAAGCCAAGAAUGCUCCGAAGACCAAGGGGAACACUGAGCAUCCAUCAGGAGGGCAAGCAUCUAAACUUGACCCUAGAGCACCAAGCUGGAAACCGACCAACUCAAAGACAAACACCCAGCCGAGACCUUGGUACUGUUUCAACUGCGGCGAGGACGGUCACAUCUCCUCAGCUUGCAAUAGCAAUCCGAACCCCACUCUCGUCAAUAAAAAAAGAGGUCAAUUGAGAGAAAAGCAGCGCCUCUGGGAGGCUAAAGUACAAUUACCAGACAAUAGGGAUUUUUAGAUGGAGUCUCAGUUGCAGGGCAAACUGAGGCUAGAGCAGUUCAUCAACGCCCUGCUAAGGAUAAAAGUGAUGCCGGACCCAAGUUCAGUGCUGCCUUGAACCAAUCUAAAGUUAGAAAACACCCCUUCAGAGUCCCGAAGAAACUUAUAGGCACGAAAAGUACUGCCCAAGUUACCAUCCAAGGAAAACAGUUCAGCUGUCUCCUCGACACAGGUUCACAAGUAACUACAGUCACCAAAUCUUUCUAUAACGAAAACCUACCCGAGCAGCAAAUCAAACCACUCUUUAACCUUCUGGAAGUUGAAGGGGCCAAUGGUCAAGCUGUGCCCUACCUUGGAUAUGUUGAAGUCACUAUCACCUUCCCAAAACAGUUCCUUGGAGCUGAAUAUGAAGUCCCAACAUUGGCCUUGGUUGUUCCAGAACGCGGCACUUCAGGGUACCAGAUACUGGUUGGUACAAACACACUCGAUGUAGCAUAUGGUAUGUGCAAAGAGAAAAGUCCAGCAAGCUACCACUCUGUCCCAAACGGCUACAGGACGGUACUGAAAGUACUUCAACUACGACAGGAACAAAGCCUUGACAGUAACAUUGGACUGGUGAGGAUGCAAGGCCGAGACAGAAAACUCAUUCCAGCUGGAGGAACACUUGUUCUGGAGGGAGUGGCAUCAGUGAAAGAGUUCCAUACUGAGAGGUCUGCUAUCAUGGAGUACCCUUCAUCCUCUUCUCUGCCUGGAGGGCUGCUUGUGAAGCCCUGCCUUGUUGAUCUACCAGUCAAACUUCCAGUUGUGGUCUCAAAUGAGUCGGAACACGACAUUAUUAUCCCAGCUAAGAGUGUGAUUGCUGAGCUCAGUUCAAUCCAGGCCAUUCUGUCUCAUAAACAGAGCGUGACCAAUCCAUCUGAACCAGAACCCUCCAAGGCAGCUGACCUAGCCUUUGACUUUGGUGAGUCCCCGGUCCCUCCAGAAUGGAAAGACAGAAUUACCCGAAAAUUGAAUAGCAUGCCUGAGGUCUUCGCCCAGAAUGACACUGACUUUGGAAGGACAGACAAAGUCAAGCAUCACAUCAAAUUGUCUGAUGAGACACCAUUCAAACUCAGGGCUCGGCCAAUACAUCCACACGAUAUUGAAGCUGUUCGUCAACAUCUUCAAGAGCUUCUUGAUUCUGGGGUGAUUCGUGAAAGUGAGUCUCCAUUCUCCUCUCCAAUUGUUGUAGUCAGGAAGAAGAAUGGCCAGGUACGCCUCUGUAUUGACUACAGGAAACUGAACCUGCAGACGGUGAAAGACGCCUAUGCACUUCCGAGGAUGGAUGACACCUUCACAGCACUCUCAGGUUCCAGGUGGUUCAGUGUCCUCGAUCUAAAGUCCGGCUACUAUCAGAUCGAAGUCAACGAGGUUGACAAACCAAAGACCGCCUUUGUAUGCCCACUUGGUUUCUGGGAGUUCAAUCGAAUGCCUCAGGGAGUGACAAACGCCCCAAGUACUUUCCAGAGACUGAUGGAAAAGUGCAUGGGAGACAUGAACUUGAAGGAAGUUGUCGUUUUCCUGGAUGACUUAAUAGUCUUCUCGAAAACUUUAGAAGACCAAGAAGCCAGGCUCACCAAGGUCCUCAACCGACUGAAGGAGUAUGGGCUCAAACUGUCCCUGGAAAAAUGUAGAUUCUUUCAGUCCUCAGUCCGGUACUUGGGGCAUGUGGUCUCAGAGCAGGGAGUGGAGACCGACCCGGAAAAGAUUGCAGCGCUAGAGACCUGGCCAGUCCCUCAGCAUCUAAAGGAGUUGAAAGCCUUCCUUGGAUUUUGUGGUUACUAUAGGAAGUUCAUUAAAGGCUAUUCAAGUGUAAUGAAACCUCUGAACGACUUAACAUCCGGUUACCCACCUCCAGGGAAGCACCCCAUAUCCAAAGAAAGGAGUGGCCAAUACUACCACCCCAAAACCCCAUUUCUGAACCGUUGGACUCCCGCCUGCCAACAGGCAUUCCAGACGAUCAUCGGCAAGUUGACAACAUCCCCAGUUCUGGCCUUCGCAAAUCCAGCACUCCCUUACAUCCUUCACACGGAUGCAAGUUCCACCGGCCUCGGAGCGGCCUUAUAUCAGGAGCAGGAGGGACAGCUGCGUGUCAUUGCCUACGCUAGCAGAGGGUUAUCGCGUAGUGAGUCCCGUUAUCCAGCUCACAAGCUUGAGUUUUUAGCGCUGAAAUGGUCUGUAACAGAGAAGUUCAGUGACUACCUCUAUGGCAAUCAGUUCACAGUUGUCACUGACAACAAUCCCCUUACGUACAUACUUACUUCAGCCAAACUCGAUGCAACCAGCUACAGGUGGUUAGCUGCUCUCUCUACCUUCUCCUUUAAGCUCCAGUACCGCCCCGGAAAGCAGAAUGGAGAUGCUGACGCACUAUCGCGACGUCCCCAUGGCAACCUGCGUGACGACCCCUCAUCCCAAAAAGAAUGGGACAGGAUCCGCCAGUUCACACAGCACCAUCUAUCAGAUCCAGAUAACAUUGAGGCUGUGGAUCAGGGGGUUGUUCAUGCCAUCUGUGAGAGACAACUUAUUUAUUGUGCCAAUGAUGGAAUGGGUAGAGAUGGAAGUAUCUCCCUAGUCGAGAGCCUUGCCAUCUCUGGAGAGGCCGUACCUGACAGUUUUGAGCAGGAAGAUAAGCUUGGAGGUCUUCCCAUCGUCUCGCACCUAUCAGAGGCAGAUCUCAGAGACAAACAGAGAGCUGACCAGUGCAUCAAACAUGUCAUCUCGCAGAUCGAGCGUGACGAGAAACCACCACCCGCUGUGAGAGCUUUGCUUCCAGACCUACCUCUGUUGUUGAGAGAGUUGACCAGACUUGAACUGCGAAACGGCAUCCUUUAUAGAACACGCCAAGAAGAAGGUCGCACGCAGUACCAGCUAGUCUUACCCGAAGAACUUCGUGAGACGGUCUUAACGAGCCUGCAUGACAACAUGGGUCAUAUGGGAAAAGACCGUACGCUGGACUUGGUCAGAGCCAGAUUCUACUGGCCGAGGAUGGCCUCUGACAUUCAGAGGAAAAUUAAGAAGUGUAACAGGUGUGUGCUCAGGAAAACCUUACCUGAGAGGGCAGCACCUUUAGUGAACAUCAUGUCAACAAGACCGCUUGAACUGGUCUGCAUGGACUUCUUGUCCAUUGAACCGGACAGAAGUAACACAAAGGACAUUCUUGUGAUCACAGAUCACUUCACAAAGUACGCAGUGGCUAUCCCAACACCAAACCAAAAGGCUCAAACGGUUGCAAAGUGCUUAUGGGACAAUUUCAUCGUCCAUUAUGGUAUUCCCGAGAAACUGCACAGUGACCAAGGUCCUGAUUUUGAGUCGCGGCUGAUCAAACAACUGUGUGAAGUUGCAGGCAUACAGAAAAUUCGAACAACUCCAUACCACCCAAGGGGUAACCCCGUGGAACGUUUUAACCGCACUCUGUUAGACAUGCUUGGUACUCUGGAAAACCAGGAUAAGUCACACUGGAAGGACUUCGUGAAGCCUUUGGUCCAUGCAUACAAUUGUACCAGGAGUGAAGUGACUGGGUUCACACCGUAUGAGCUAAUGUUCGGACGCCAGCCACGCCUGCCGGUCGACCUUGCAUUCGGCUUACCUGUCAAAGAAGAGCAACAGAAGUCACACUCCCAGUACGUAAAGCACCUCAAAUCCCAUCUCGAGGAGAGCUACAAGAUAGCAACAAGGAGUGCUGCCAAGGUGGCUGAAAAGAACAAAACAAGGUUUGACAAGCGUGUGACCCCUUCUGCUCUGGACAUUGGAGACAGAGUACUUGUCAGGAAUGUACGUAUUCGUGGAAAGCACAAGCUAGCUGAUAAAUGGGAGUCCACUGUCCAUGUGGUAGUGAGGAAGGCUGGAGACCUCCCCGUCUAUACAGUAGAACCAGAGACCGGAGAAGGCCCUCAGCGUACGUUGCAUCGAGACCUCUUGCUCCCAUGUGGGUUCCUCCAUGUAACACCAGAAGAACAACCCAAACCACUCGAGCGCCGCAAGACACGCCAGAACACUCGCAGUGACCCAAGAGAAGUUCAUCAGUCCUCAGAUGAGGACGAUAUCAUUCCUGUUAUCUGGUCCCAAUAAAAACCAGUUCAAGAGGUAACCGGAUAUAUUGUCUCGCGAGAUGUUCCAAGACACCAUGGCCCAAGCCAUUCUAAAGAGAACCUGAUGACAGACCUCAACAAGGUGACUGAUUAAGUUCCAGAUAAUGUGAGUAGCCUACCUGAUGUUACAGUCAACCGAGUAACACUGGACCUGAACUUACCUGGAAAUGAACCUGUGGAAAUAAAAGACCUGCCUGGAUAUGAACCUGCACAAAGAGAGACAAACUUACCUGAUAGUGACGACCUUGUGAAAGAGUUGGAUGAGGACUGUCCUGAACAACCUCCAGUCCCCUCCGACAUGCCAGAAUGUGAUGAGACAAAUGUCUAUGAAAAUGAAAGAGAAGAGGAGAUUAAGGAGACGGAGGAACAAGCACAUACUGAUGAUCUAGUCAGGAGAUCCGAGAGGAAUCGUCAGCCACCUAGGCGGCUGGACUACACUGAACUGGGAAACCCCUUAGUCACAGUGGUGAAGUCACUCUUUCAAGGGCUGACUACUGGUACCACGGACUGGUAUGAAAAUAUCCUCUCAGGGAUAGGAAUUUGAAGAAUAUUGAAUACCAGAUAUUAAAGUAGUGUGUGUCCAUUAGGUUGGAAGCUGUUGAGGAACAACUGUCAACAAUUGUUAAGCCGUGUUGACACUGCGAACCCUUAAGAUACCUCCGGUAAGGAUGCUAAUACUAAUGCGAGUGUUAUGCUGACUGUGUUAGCUCCGUUAGGGCGAAAAAUACCGUUAAUCUAAAACCAAUCGGAGUUGUGACCCUAAUUUUUACUGUUUUAUACCAUAUAGACACAGAUUCGGAUUGUUUUAUGUUGUUUAAGAUGCUCGUAAAAGAGAGCUGCUCGCGCUAGCCGCAUGCUAACCUUUAACACUUAAAUGUGAAUUUGUUUAGAUUUGAGCUCUGCUGCUAGUUUAGCUAAGCUAGUCACCACAGUACCAUAUUUAUUAUAGUAUUCAUACCACGAAAUGUGUCUUUAUACUCUGUUCUGUUGACUUAGAAGUCAUUUGAUUGAGGAAAUAUUUACCCUCUUGUUGUCAUAUGUAAAAUAAAUCUGAUUUAGUUCAUUUAGUUGCAAAUAUACAUGUUUGAUAUGUGUAUGAAGAACAGAAGUUCAUCUUAACUGUCAUUAAGAAUAAAUAUAUUAAAAUGUGAUGUUUAAAACGUUAUUAAGGUGCUUAAAUAGCUUUAAAAAGAAAAGUUAAAGAACAUAAAUAUCUUGUUUCAGAAAUCUAAUGAUUUAAUUUCUAUACUGUGAAAUGGAAGUACAUGAUUGAUUGUUGUUCAUUGGAACUGACCUAUGUUGUGUUGUGUGGUGUGAUGUGUACUUAUUCAUUUACAUAAUGAUUAGAGUAUCUAUAUCCUUUACAAUUGGUUAUAUUUGAUCUGACAUUUGAAUAGAGAUAAGUUGAUCGAAUUUGAACAGAAAUGAGGCAAUAGUAACUAAUGCAUUCUGUACUGUAUGUAUAGAUUGGUUUUAAGAGAGGGAUAGAUCAUCUGAAUCUGACCCUUGGGGUCAGUGGCGAGCCAACCGCAGAAGUCAGAAAACGGACCAAGAGCCUGGUGUGGCCAGCCGUGGCAUCUUUGGAACCAUCAUCAUCCCGUGCCUUCGUUUGAAGGCUUUGGUCUCCUGGGUCUAUUUCCUGUGCUGAUGAGGUGUAUGAAGGAGAUGACUCUAGCAAAACUUAGCGCUGUGUUCAGAAGCGCUUCUUACGUCCUACUCGCCCUCUCCAACAAUACAUGGAUGGUCUUCCUGG